CCUACGGGCGGCAGCAGUGGGGGAUAUUGCACAAUGGGGGAAACCCUGAUGCAGCGACGCCGCGUGUGGGAAGACGGUCCUCUGGAUUGUAAACCACUGUCCCCAGGGACGAAGAUGACGGUACCUGGGGAGGAAGCUCCGGCUAACUACGUGCCAGCAGCCGCGGUAAUACGUAGGGAGCGAGCGUUGUCCGGAAUUACUGGGGGUAACGGGAGCGUAGGCGGGACUGCAAGUUGGGUGUCAAAUCUACCGGCUCAACCGGUAGCCGCACUCAAAACUGCAGUUCUUGAGUGAAGUAGAGGCAGGCGGAAUUCCUAGUGUAGCGGUGAAAUGCGUAGAUAUUAGGAGGAACACCAGUGGCGAAGGCGGCCUGCUGGGCUUUUACUGACGCUGAGGCUCGAAAGUGUGGGGAGCAAACAGGAUUAGAUACCCCUGUAGUC
This 440-nucleotide ribosomal RNA is filed under the name uncultured bacterium. RNAcentral's name for it is "partial 16S ribosomal RNA". It matches the Rfam family "Bacterial small subunit ribosomal RNA", at positions 338 to 795 of the family's 1533-position model. The record is from RNAcentral.